This 253-nucleotide ribosomal RNA is filed under the name uncultured bacterium. RNAcentral describes it as "partial 16S ribosomal RNA". It matches the Rfam family "Bacterial small subunit ribosomal RNA", at positions 524 to 776 of the family's 1533-position model. The record is from RNAcentral.
UACGAAGGGGGCUAGCGUUGUUCGGAUUUACUGGGCGUAAAGCGCACGUAGGCGGAUCGAUCAGUCAGGGGUGAAAUCCCAGAGCUCAACUCUGGAACUGCCUUUGAUACUGUCGAUCUUGAGUUCGGGAGAGGUGAGUGGAACUGCGAGUGUAGAGGUGAAAUUCGUAGAUAUUCGCAAGAACACCAGUGGCGAAGGCGGCUCACUGGCCCGAUACUGACGCUGAGGCACGAAAGCGUGGGGAGCAAACAGG